RNAcentral lists this ribosomal RNA (253 nucleotides) under uncultured bacterium. RNAcentral describes it as "partial 16S ribosomal RNA". It matches the Rfam family "Bacterial small subunit ribosomal RNA", at positions 524 to 776 of the family's 1533-position model. The record is from RNAcentral.
UACGAAGGGGGCUAGCGUUGCUCGGAAUGACUGGGCGUAAAGCGCACGUAGGCGGAUUUGUAAGUCAGGGGUGAAAUCCCGGGGCUCAACCUCGGAACUGCCUUUGAUACUGCAAAUCUCGAGUCCGGAAGAGGUGAGUGGAAUUCCUAGUGUAGAGGUGAAAUUCGUAGAUAUUAGGAAGAACACCAGUGGCGAAGGCGGCUCACUGGUCCGGUACUGACGCUGAGGUGCGAAAGCGUGGGGAGCAAACAGG